UACGAAGGGGGCUAGCGUUGUUCGGAAUCACUGGGCGUAAAGCGCACGUAGGCGGAUUAUUAAGUCGGGGGUGAAAUCCCGAGGCUCAACCUCGGAACUGCCUUCGAUACUGCUAAUCUUAGAGUCCGGGAGAGGUGAGUGGAACUCCGAGUGUAGAGGUGAAAUUCGUAGAUAUUCGGAAGAACACCAGUGGCGAAGGCGGCUCACUGGCCCGGUACUGACGCUGAGGUGCGAAAGCGUGGGGAGCAAACAGG
Molecule: ribosomal RNA, 254 nt
Filed under: uncultured Hyphomicrobiales bacterium
Lineage: Bacteria; Pseudomonadati; Pseudomonadota; Alphaproteobacteria; Hyphomicrobiales
Description: uncultured Rhizobiales bacterium partial 16S ribosomal RNA
Rfam family: Bacterial small subunit ribosomal RNA
Source: RNAcentral